RNAcentral lists this ribosomal RNA (304 nucleotides) under uncultured cyanobacterium. RNAcentral describes it as "bacterial SSU rRNA". It matches the Rfam family "Bacterial small subunit ribosomal RNA", at positions 32 to 339 of the family's 1533-position model. Lineage: Bacteria; Bacillati; Cyanobacteriota. The record is from RNAcentral.
CGACGCUGGCGGCGUGCUUCAUACAUGCAAGUCGAACGAGAAAUUCACUUCGGUGGAUGGAAAGUGGCGGACGGGUGAGUAAUGUGUAGAGAAUCUGCCCUAGAGUGGGGGACAACAGAGGGAAACUCCUGCUAAUACCCCAUAUGCGCGUAGUUGAGAUACUAUUCGUGAAAGAUUUAUUGCUCUGGGAUGAGUCUGCAUCUGAUUAGCUAGUUGGGGGUGUAAUGGACCACCAAGGCGACGAUCAGUAGCUGGCCUGAGAGGGUGUACGGCCACAUUGGGACUGAGACACGGCCCAAACUCC